Molecule: ribosomal RNA, 253 nt
Filed under: uncultured bacterium
Lineage: Bacteria
Description: partial 16S ribosomal RNA
Rfam family: Bacterial small subunit ribosomal RNA
Source: RNAcentral
UACAGAGGGUGCGAGCGUUAAUCGGAAUUACUGGGCGUAAAGCGUGCGUAGACGGUUAUGUAAGUUAGGUGUGAAAGCCCCGGGCUCAACCUGGGAAUUGCAUUUAAGAUUGCAUAGCUAGGGUGCGGAAGAGGGAAGCGGAAUUUCCGGUGUAGCGGUGAAAUGCGUAGAUAUCGGAAGGAACAUCAGUGGCGAAAGCGGCUUCCUGGUCCAGCACCGACGUUCAGGCACGAAAGCGUGGGGAGCAAACAGG